CCUACGGGAGGCAGCAGUGAGGAAUAUUGGACAAUGGGAGCAAUCCUGAUCCAGCCAUGCCGCGUGCAGGAAGACUGCCCUAUGGGUUGUAAACUGCUUUUAUACAGGAAGAAAAAGCCCGACGUGUCGGGUGUUGACGGUACUGUAAGAAUAAGGAUCGGCUAACUCCGUGCCAGCAGCCGCGGUAAUACGGAGGAUCCAAGCGUUAUCCGGAAUCAUUGGGUUUAAAGGGUCCGUAGGCGGGACAAUAAGUCAGUGGUGAAAGUCUGCAGCUCAACUGUAGAAUUGCCAUUGAUACUGUUGUUCUUGAGUGCUUGUGAAGUGGUUAGAAUGAGUAGUGUAGCGGUGAAAUGCAUAGAUAUUACUCAGAAUACCGAUUGCGAAGGCAGAUCACUAACAAUUCACUGACGCUGAUGGACGAAAGCGUAGGUAGCGAACAGGAUUAGAUACCCUGGUAGUCUACGCCGUAAACGAUGGUUACUAGCUGUUCGGAUCAAUUGAGAUCUGAGUGGCUAAGCGA
RNAcentral lists this ribosomal RNA (520 nucleotides) under uncultured Flavobacterium sp. Its description in RNAcentral is "bacterial SSU rRNA". It matches the Rfam family "Bacterial small subunit ribosomal RNA", at positions 338 to 854 of the family's 1533-position model. The record is from RNAcentral. RNAcentral also lists the same sequence under 1 other name. Lineage: Bacteria; Pseudomonadati; Bacteroidota; Flavobacteriia; Flavobacteriales; Flavobacteriaceae.